AACAACCGUGAUUCCGGGAGUAGUGGCGAGCGAAACUGGAUGAGGCCAAACCGUAUGCGUGUGAUACCCGGCAGGGGUUGCGCAUACGGGGUUGUGGGAUCUCUCUUUCAUAGUCUGCCGACUGUGAGACGAGUCAGAAACCGUUGAUGUAGGCGAAGGACAUGCGAAAGGUCCGGCGUAGAGGGUAAGACCCCCGUAGCUGAAACAUCAACGGCUCGUUUGAGAGACACCCAAGUAGCACGGGGCCCGAGAAAUCCCGUGUGAAUCUGGCGGGACCACCCGCUAAGCCUAAAUAUUCCCUGGUGACCGAUAGCGGAUAGUACCGU
This 326-nucleotide ribosomal RNA is filed under the name Streptomyces sp. NRRL S-4. RNAcentral's name for it is "bacterial LSU rRNA". It matches the Rfam family "Bacterial large subunit ribosomal RNA", at positions 224 to 504 of the family's 2925-position model. Lineage: Bacteria; Bacillati; Actinomycetota; Actinomycetes; Kitasatosporales; Streptomycetaceae. The record is from RNAcentral.